Molecule: ribosomal RNA, 479 nt
Filed under: uncultured bacterium
Lineage: Bacteria
Description: partial 16S ribosomal RNA
Rfam family: Bacterial small subunit ribosomal RNA
Source: RNAcentral
GAUGAACGCUAGCGGCAGGCCUAACACAUGCAAGCCGAGCGGUAGAGUCUCUUCGGAGACUUGAGAGCGGCGCACGGGUGCGGAACACGUGUGCAACCUGCCUUUAUCUGGGGGAUAGCCUUUCGAAGGGAAGAUUAAUACCCCAUAAUAUACUGGAUGGCAUCAUCUGGUAUUGAAAACUCCGGUGGAUAGAGAUGGGCACGCGCAAGAUUAGAUAGUUGGUGAGGUAACGGCUCACCAAGUCAGCGAUCUUUAGGGGGCCUGAGAGGGUGAUCCCCCACACUGGUGCUGGGACACCGACCAGACUCCUACGGGAGGCAGCAGUGAGGGAUGUUGGACAAUGGGUGAGAGCCUGAUCCAGCCAUCCCGCGUGAAGGACGACGGCGCUAUGGGUUGUAAACUUCUUUUGUAGAGGGAUAAACCUAGAUACGUGUAUCUAACUGAAGGUACUGUACGAAUAAGCACCGGCUAACUCCGUG